CAGAAGGGAAAACAUCUUAUUUAUCAAAUACUUACAAUAUGAGAAAUAAACACAAUCUAAAAUAAAUAUAUAUUUUUAGAAUAAAAUACAAUUAUAAUUUAUAUAUUAACUUUUCGAACAUAUGUCAUUCGUGCAGUAGAACGGGUUAUCCCCUAGUUUACUAUUUUUUUUUUUUUGUCAACUGAAAUUAUAUUCAUCAACUUGGUUUCACACCAAGGUAGAUUACAAAGCCCAAAUAAGGGAAGCUAAAGCCGACGGACGAACUAAAAGUCCUCGGAGUCAAUGCCGGCAGAAAACGAGAUUUCUCCGGAGUCAAAGCCCGAUAGAAGGGAAACAAAAAGCAUAAAAAUACAAAAC
This 357-nucleotide long non-coding RNA is filed under the name Capsella rubella. Its description in RNAcentral is "long non-coding RNA (CRUB_LNC002633)". The record is from RNAcentral. Lineage: Eukaryota; Viridiplantae; Streptophyta; Magnoliopsida; Brassicales; Brassicaceae.